Molecule: transfer-messenger RNA, 327 nt
Filed under: Roseomonas mucosa
Lineage: Bacteria; Pseudomonadati; Pseudomonadota; Alphaproteobacteria; Acetobacterales; Roseomonadaceae
Also listed under: 3 other names
Description: Alphaproteobacteria transfer-messenger RNA
Rfam family: Alphaproteobacteria transfer-messenger RNA
About the family: Bacterial tmRNA, also known as 10Sa RNA or SsrA, is named for its dual tRNA and mRNA-like properties. Its role is to liberate the mRNA from a stalled ribosome. To accomplish this part of the tmRNA is used as a reading frame that ends in a translation stop signal.
Source: Rfam by way of RNAcentral
CCCCUCGAUUUCCGUCACGGGAUCGCCUAUAUGGGUGUUGCUCACCUUCGGGUGGCUAUGGCGAUAAACGGCAGGUGGAAUAAGUGUUGCGGACCCGGGGGCAGUGCCCGGCGCCUCCACCAUUCGAUCCCCCGAGGUCGUUCGGGGCAGGAUGGGGGCGAAACAGGUUCGACGCGCAUGGUAAAGCCCUGUCUUUUGCCCGGCAUUGUACCGCCGUUAUCGGGCUAAUUCAUAAGUGCCAACGAUAACAGCCGCGAGGCUGUGGCGCUCGCUGCCUAAAUAGGUAAGCGCCGUCCGGGGGGAACGGGGCAACAGAAUCCCCCCACU